This 73-nucleotide transfer RNA is filed under the name Myotis brandtii (Brandt's bat). It matches the Rfam family "tRNA". Rfam says of the family: Transfer RNA (tRNA) molecules are approximately 80 nucleotides in length. The record is from Rfam by way of RNAcentral. Lineage: Eukaryota; Metazoa; Chordata; Mammalia; Chiroptera; Vespertilionidae.
GCUGGUGUUGCUCAGUGGAUAGAGCGUCGGCCUGUGGACCGAAGUGUCAAAGGUUCAAUUCCUGUCAAGGGCA